CGCUGGCGGCAUGCCUUACACAUGCAAGUCGAACGGCAGCACGGGAGUAAUCCUGGUGGCGAGUGGCGAACGGGUGAGUAAUAUAUCGGAACGUGCCCAGUCGUGGGGGAUAACGCAGCGAAAGCUGUGCUAAUACCGCAUACGAUCUCUGGAUGAAAGCGGGGGACUCGCAAGAGCCUCGCGCGAUUGGAGCGGCCGAUAUCAGAUUAGCUAGUUGGUGGGGUAAAGGCCCACCAAGGCGACGAUCUGUAGCUGGUCUGAGAGGACGACCAGCCACACUGGAACUGAGACACGGUCCAGACUCCUACGGGAGGCAGCAGUGGGGAAUUUUGGACAAUGGGCGAAAGCCUGAUCCAGCAAUGCCGCGUGCAGGAUGAAGGCCUUCGGGUUGUAAACUGCUUUUGUACGGAACGAAACGGUCUCUCUUAAUACGGGGGGCUAAUGACGGUACCGUAAGAAUAAGCACCGGCUAACUACGUGCCAGCAGCCGCGGUAAUACGUAGGGUGCGAGCGUUAAUCGGAAUUACUGGGCGUAAAGCGUGCGCAGGCGGUUAUAUAAGACAGAUGUGAAAUCCCCGGGCUCAACCUGGGACCUGCAUUUGUGACUGUAUAGCUAGAGUACGGUAGAGGGGGAUGGAAUUCCGCGUGUAGCAGUGAAAUGCGUAGAUAUGCGGAGGAACACCGAUGGCGAAGGCAAUCCCCUGACCUGUACUGACGCUCAUGCACGAAAGCGUGGGGAGC
This 741-nucleotide ribosomal RNA is filed under the name uncultured soil bacterium. RNAcentral's name for it is "bacterial SSU rRNA". It matches the Rfam family "Bacterial small subunit ribosomal RNA", at positions 34 to 769 of the family's 1533-position model. The record is from RNAcentral.